RNAcentral lists this unclassified non-coding RNA (495 nucleotides) under Stenotrophomonas sp. GP59. RNAcentral describes it as "partial 16S-23S ribosomal RNA intergenic spacer". The stretch from base 210 to 283 matches the Rfam family "tRNA". Lineage: Bacteria; Pseudomonadati; Pseudomonadota; Gammaproteobacteria; Lysobacterales; Lysobacteraceae. The record is from RNAcentral.
AUCACCUCCUUUUGAGCAAAGACAGCAUCGUCCUGUCGGGCGUCUUCACAAAGUACCUGCAUUCAGAGAAUCAGGUCGGGCAGGCCGAUGUGAGAGUCCCUUUUGGGGCCUUAGCUCAGCUGGGAGAGCACCUGCUUUGCAAGCAGGGGGUCGUCGGUUCGAUCCCGACAGGCUCCACCAUGUCGGAGUUUGUUCCGGAAAGAAUUUCCGGGUCUGUAGCUCAGGUGGUUAGAGCGCACCCCUGAUAAGGGUGAGGUCGGUAGUUCGAGUCUACCCAGACCCACCAUUACUUGAAUGACGCAUACAUUCGAUGUUUAUACGCAUCAGCACUGUGGCUGGUACGUGUUCUUUUAAAACUUGUGACGUAGCGAGCGUUUGAGAUGUUCUAUCAGACGUGUCGUGAGGCUAAGGCGAGAGACAUAAGUCUCUUUAUUGAUUGAGUCGUUAUAUUCGUAUCCGGGCUUUGUACCCCCGGGUCAUGUGUACCCCAAAGGC